GAGGGUAUAGCUCAGUGGUAGAGCGCAUGCUUAACAUGCAUGAGGUCCUGGGUUCAGUCCCCAAUAUCUCCA
This 72-nucleotide transfer RNA is filed under the name Camelus bactrianus (Bactrian camel). It matches the Rfam family "tRNA". From Rfam's summary of the family: Transfer RNA (tRNA) molecules are approximately 80 nucleotides in length. Their secondary structure includes four short double-helical elements and three loops (D, anti-codon, and T loops). Lineage: Eukaryota; Metazoa; Chordata; Mammalia; Artiodactyla; Camelidae. RNAcentral also lists the same sequence under 2 other names. The record is from Rfam by way of RNAcentral.